RNAcentral lists this transfer RNA (60 nucleotides) under Brumptomyia travassosi. Its description in RNAcentral is "tRNA-Ile". Lineage: Eukaryota; Metazoa; Arthropoda; Insecta; Diptera; Psychodidae. The record is from RNAcentral.
AAUAAGUUGCCUGAUAAAAGGAUUAUUUUGAUAGAAUAAAUUAUGUGAUUAUUCACACUU